GUCAGUUGGGCUAAAGUUUUAGCCAAAUCAGCUUACUUUAGAUGAGCUGAAUUUGACGGGUCAAGAUGGUUGAGUUUCUAAAUAUCGGGUCAUAUUUUUAUAGGUUAAUCUUUCUUCAUUAUUGCCAUCAUCUUCUCUCAGUCUAUCCCGUAGAAGAUCUAAAUGACUUUUCAGGGGCUGCGGCUUAACCGCAUUCAUUUGCUUUCAUCGAUGGAUCAAGGUAAGUGUACUAGUUUUCAUUCAAAAUAUUAAAGUAGGCUAAUGAUUCAAAUAGAUCUUGGGUUAGAUUGAUCGUUGGAAUCACAAAACUAAAAUACUGCGUAUAUAAAAUUUUGCGCAUCAAAUUAGGUGCACGUAAUCCAUGGUUUUUUUGCCAAAAUAGAUAUUUCGUCUAUAUAUUUUUAAGAAUUGAUUUAAUAUUAUCUAUUGAUCCCUAUGCUCCAAAAAAUAUUGGAUGAUACACUUGGUUGAAUAUAUACUGAGUAAUUUACUUAGAGGACUGAAGAUCAAUUCACACUUAAUACUUUUCUUUUUCCUUUUAUUAGUAGUGCACCCAUAUUUUAAAAAUUCUAGAUCCCUCUCAUUAUAUCUCUCCUAAAUAGGGAAUCCAUAAACUAUAACCACUACACUGAAGCCUUGUUAUGAAUCAAUGAACUUCACAGCUACACUACAUAGAAUUUUUUUCCUAACAAGAUACAAAAUAUAUGUAACUGAUAUUUAGCUUAAAGUACAUAUAUUUAUAUGUAUAUCACCUCAUGUUUUACUCGUGUUUCAUGAAUUUCAGAUGUAAAAUGUAUUGAUUUAUGUAAAUUCUUGUAUUUUUAUAUGUAAGAAUCAUCCGGAGGCAAUAGGGGGCGAAAGGUGCAAGAUUAGAGCCAAAAAGGAGAAAAAGGUUGAAAAUGGCCAUUGUAGCGCCACGGGCAGCGUGGGGCGCUACCCGUGGCGCAAUUUCCAGAAGCUUUAUUUUUCCGGUGCCAGGGAUAGCGCCCCACGCUACCCUGGGCGCUGGUGACGGGAAACAUCUCAUACUUUGCCCGGGACAAGGUUAUAUCGGCCCAAGACCUACCAAACGCAUAUAAAAGCAAGACUAAGCCUAUUUUGGGAGGAGAGACGCCACUUUGAAGGGAAAAUACACACAAGGAAUAUCCGGGAGCAAGGAUAUCUCAGUUUUCUUUAUCUUUUCUUAGUAUUUUAAAUUAGUCAACACUUGUGACUUUGUUUUGAUAUUAUCAUGAGUGGCUAAAACCCAUAGUUCUGAGGUUGUGAUUUAGCCAUGAAUAUUAUUGUUUAAAGUUGACUUAACCUUGAUUACAAUUCACCAAUAUAUGGUUGUUUCUUCAAUUCUGUGAUUAAUUACUUAAUUGUUUGGC
This 1370-nucleotide long non-coding RNA is filed under the name Nicotiana tabacum (common tobacco). RNAcentral's name for it is "long non-coding RNA (NTAB_LNC014129)". The record is from RNAcentral. Lineage: Eukaryota; Viridiplantae; Streptophyta; Magnoliopsida; Solanales; Solanaceae.